GACGAACGCUGGCGGCGUGCUUAACACAUGCAAGUCGAACGGAAAGGCCCUGCUUUCGUGGGGUGCUCGAGUCGCGAACGGGUGUGAAACACGUGAGUAACCUGCCCUUGACUUUGGGAUAACUUCAGGAAAGUGGGGCUAAUACCGGAUAGGAGCUCCUGCUGCAUGGUGGGGGUUGGAAAGUUUCGGCGGUUGGGGCUGGACUGCCGGCUUAUCAGCUGGUUGGGGGGGUAGCGGCCUACCCAGGCGUUGACGGGUAGCCGGCCUGGGUGGGCGACCGGCCACAUUGGGACUGAGGUACGCCCCAGACUCCAACGGGGGGCAGCGGUGGGGAGUAUUGCACAAUGGGGGGAAGCCUGAUGCAGCAACGCCGCGUGCGGGAUGCCGGCCUUCGGGUGGUAAACCGCUUUCGCCUGGGACGAAGCUUGUGUGACGGUAAUGAGUAAAGAAGCACCGGCUAACUACGUG
This 468-nucleotide ribosomal RNA is filed under the name uncultured bacterium. RNAcentral describes it as "partial 16S ribosomal RNA". It matches the Rfam family "Bacterial small subunit ribosomal RNA", at positions 28 to 507 of the family's 1533-position model. The record is from RNAcentral.